UUGAUUAUGACGUACUUGUACUGAUUGAGAUUUUAACACGAAGUGAGUGGCGAACGGGUGAGUAACACGUGGGUAACCUGCCCAGAAGUAGGGGAUAACACCUGGAAACAGAUGCUAAUACCGUAUAACAGAGAAAACCGCAUGGUUUUCUUUUAAAAGAUGGCUCUGCUAUCACUUCUGGAUGGACCCGCGGCGUAUUAGCUAGUUGGUGAGGUAAAGGCUCACCAAGGCAGUGAUACGUAGCCGACCUGAGAGGGUAAUCGGCCACAUUGGGACUGAGACACGGCCCAGACUCCUACGGGAGGCAGCAGUAGGGAAUCUUCCACAAUGGACGCAAGUCUGAUGGAGCAACGCCGCGUGAGUGAAGAAGGGUUUCGGCUCGUAAAGCUCUGUUGUUAAAGAAGAACGUGGGUAAGAGUAACUGUUUACCCAGUGACGGUAUUUAACCAGAAAGCCACGGCUAACUACGUGCCAGCAGCCGCGGUAAUACGUAGGUGGCAAGCGUUAUCCGGAUUUAUUGGGCGUAAAG
RNAcentral lists this ribosomal RNA (529 nucleotides) under Pediococcus pentosaceus. Its description in RNAcentral is "bacterial SSU rRNA". It matches the Rfam family "Bacterial small subunit ribosomal RNA", at positions 62 to 565 of the family's 1533-position model. The record is from RNAcentral. Lineage: Bacteria; Bacillati; Bacillota; Bacilli; Lactobacillales; Lactobacillaceae.